UCUUUCCAGGGAUUGAGGUCAAGCUGAUUGGCUUGUAGUUCCCCAGUGUAAGGGGCUGGAAGACAUUCACCCAGGAUGCCUUACCAAGCAGGAACAAGGACCUCACUGAAGCAAGACUUCCGUGCUGUGGUGGGAGCUCCCGGUUCACCCCAGCCCAGCUUUACCACCUCAGCAGUUCCGGGGAGGCGCGGACCCAUCGCUGCGGGCUGUCCAUUUGAGCCUGAGACAGCCGUGGCAAAAUGAAGAUUUUUAAAAGGAAACAGAUGGCUCCCAGGUGGAGGGAAGAAGGAUCCGUUGCCCCAGUGGUUCCACUGUGGGACCCGGGGAUGCAAAGCUGGUACAAGCCAGUGAGAGAGUGAUGGGGAACACCAAACCCUCCCCACCACAUGCUGCCUAGCAGCGGCAAGGAUUUCACCUGCUUGUUAAGGGGUCAGAUGCCACCAAUUAAGUCCGGCAGGGCAGCAAUUAGCAGAAGAGAACAGCAGAUUCCCCAAUGUGCUGAGGAACACAGGGAAAACCCAAGGCUGUGAGGAAGCCACUGCUACACCUGUGGAAUGAUGGGAACUCAAGUGUCUUGCAACUUGGUUCAGCAGCAGUCAGACUAAAAAGGAGAAA
This is a long non-coding RNA of Gavialis gangeticus (Gharial), 615 nucleotides long. RefSeq lists it as uncharacterized. The transcript has 2 exons. The record is from RefSeq and is a predicted model, not a curated record. Lineage: Eukaryota; Metazoa; Chordata; Crocodylia; Gavialidae.